AAAUAAUUUGGGUUUUUACAGCCAGGGGUUACAAUUCGAUGCAAUGAAACAAUUCUAAGUUUGAGUACCACAUUGUUUUCAGUCAUUAUAAGCGAGUUGAUGCAAGUAAUGUCUUCCCUUACCUAUUUUGCCUUUGGGUGUCUUUGAAAACCACAGUGUACGGAAACUAACCGAAAUCCCAUGUUGAUUUAAAUAUUUAAAACGAUCUCAGGUCAAUAUUCUAACGUUAAACUGAGAUUACAGCACUAACUCAAUUCAUUUCAAAAUGGUCAUUUGACUGCAGUCUUUGAAGCGGUUUUUAAAACCAUUUAAAGCCACCAGGUAGCAUCAUUUUUGAUAACAAGGAAACAUGCUUUUAAAUAAGCUAUCAAGUUGGACAGAGGCGCAGACGUCAAAAAUAGAAGGGGUAAUAACUGAAUUUUAGAACUGCAAUACGUUUAUUACGAUCACGUAGUAAGAUAUUUUGGAAGCCGGUGAAUUACACUAAAUAAGAACAAAUAAUCUAAAUUGUACACGGUCUGCACCGUUAAACGUUACGCUUCUUUUAAUCUUCGAUUUUUGUAACUUGAUAGAGAUAUAACAACGGCUCUUACCUCUGAACGCCGCUCUCCCACGCCUGGGCUCUGUUAUCUGUGUCUCCGUGUCCCCUAGAGUCCCGCUACAGGAGCGCCUGUAACUCUGUCAGCCGCAUCAGCUGAGACCUCCGCAGCGACUGACUGCAGUUGGCUCAUCAGCCCUCGAUACUUGUGCUCUGCUCCAGUCUCUGCGUUCUCGCUCAGUGCCAGCCGGAUAGCUCCUGGGGUCAGCGAAACGUUAGCUGCAAGCCGGGACAAUCCUCUGCGAACGAGGAGUGGGCAGUAACCCAAGAUGGCACCUCCUGUCUGUACUGGAGCGCUGGCAGCCUAACUUCCUGCUGGAGAGGCCAUGACCUGCUUGCAUCUGUUCCCGUAGCACGGUAUUUAGUGGAGCGUGGCCAUAUUUUUCUGUCUCGUGAGCUGUAACUGGAGUAGAUGACAAAUCCAAAUAUAUUCCCCCCCCCUUCAUCAGCUGCUCUGUUC
RNAcentral lists this long non-coding RNA (1058 nucleotides) under Lepisosteus oculatus (spotted gar). Its description in RNAcentral is "lncRNA (ENSLOCG00000021351.1)". The record is from RNAcentral. Lineage: Eukaryota; Metazoa; Chordata; Actinopteri; Semionotiformes; Lepisosteidae.